RNAcentral lists this long non-coding RNA (205 nucleotides) under Homo sapiens (human). RNAcentral's name for it is "HSALNT0299741". The record is from RNAcentral. Lineage: Eukaryota; Metazoa; Chordata; Mammalia; Primates; Hominidae.
UGUAACAGGAGCUCAGGGGCACUUUUGUCAUGGAGAGAAUAUAUGCAGGGAGAUGGCUAAUGACCCACAGCUGGGAUCAUUGCUGCCUGCUCAGGACUUGAGUUACUGGAUGUCGGAGGCUUACAAAGUGCUCUUUCUGAACGAAAAGUGAUUUUUUGAAACUAAUAUCAACAAGAUCAGGACAACUGCAAUCACUUUACCCGAC